GUCUAUAAAUACCUGAAGGAAGGCUGUAAAGAAGACAAGCCAGUUUCUUCUCAGUGGUGCCCAGUGACAGGACCAGAGGCAGCGGGCACAAACUGAAACACGGGAGGUUCCUUCUGAAUAUCAGGAAACCCUUUUUCAUUGUGAGGGUGACAGAGCACGGGCACAGUUUGCUGGGAGAGGUUGUGUAGUCUCCAUCUGUGGGGAUAUUCAAAACC
Athene cunicularia (burrowing owl) is the source of this 215-nucleotide long non-coding RNA. RefSeq lists it as uncharacterized. NCBI's taxonomy places the organism in Eukaryota, Metazoa, Chordata, Aves, Strigiformes, Strigidae. The transcript is spliced from 3 exons. The record is from RefSeq and is a predicted model, not a curated record.